Molecule: ribosomal RNA, 528 nt
Filed under: uncultured bacterium
Lineage: Bacteria
Description: partial 16S ribosomal RNA
Rfam family: Bacterial small subunit ribosomal RNA
Source: RNAcentral
UGGGGAAUAUUGCACAAUGGGCGAAAGCCUGAUGCAGCAACGCCGCGUGAGGGACGACGGCCUUCGGGUUGUAAACCUCUUUUAGCAAGGAAGAAGCGAAAGUGACGGUACUUGCAGAAAAAGCGCCGGCUAACUACGUGCCAGCAGCCGCGGUAAUACGUAGGGCGCAAGCGUUAUCCGGAAUUAUUGGGCGUAAAGAGCUCGUAGGCGGUUUGUCGCGUCUGCUGUGAAAACCCGAGGCUCAACCUCGGGCCUGCAGUGGGUACGGGCAGACUAGAGUGCGGUAGGGGAGAUUGGAACUCCUGGUGUAGCGGUGGAAUGCGCAGAUAUCAGGAAGAACACCGAUGGCGAAGGCAGAUCUCUGGGCCGUAACUGACGCUGAGGAGCGAAAGGGUGGGGAGCAAACAGGCUUAGAUACCCUGGUAGUCCACCCGUAAACGUUGGGAACUAGUUGUGGGUCCAUUCCACGGAUUCCGUGACGCAGCUAACGCAUUAAGUUCCCCGCCUGGGGAGUACGGCCGCAAGGCU